RNAcentral lists this ribosomal RNA (1054 nucleotides) under uncultured bacterium. Its description in RNAcentral is "bacterial SSU rRNA". It matches the Rfam family "Bacterial small subunit ribosomal RNA", at positions 336 to 1393 of the family's 1533-position model. The record is from RNAcentral.
CUCCUACGGGAGGCAGCAGUGAGGAAUAUUGGUCAAUGGGCGCAGGCCUGAACCAGCCAAGUAGCGUGAAGGAUGACUGCCCUAUGGGUUGUAAACUUCUUUUAUAUGGGAAUAAAGUUUUCCACGUGUGGAAUUUUGUAUGUACCAUAUGAAUAAGGAUCGGCUAACUCCGUGCCAGCAGCCGCGGUAAUACGGAGGAUCCGAGCGUUAUCCGGAUUUAUUGGGUUUAAAGGGAGCGUAGGUGGACAGUUAAGUCAGUUGUGAAAGUUUGCGGCUCAACCGUAAAAUUGCAGUUGAUACUGGCUGUCUUGAGUACAGUAGAGGUGGGCGGAAUUCGUGGUGUAGCGGUGAAAUGCUUAGAUAUCACGAAGAACUCCGAUUGCGAAGGCAGCUCACUGGACUGCAACUGACACUGAUGCUCGAAAGUGUGGGUAUCAAACAGGAUUAGAUACCCAGGUAGUCCACACAGUAAACGAUGAAUACUCGCUGUUUGCGAUAUACAGUAAGCGGCCAAGCGAAAGCAUUAAGUAUUCCACCUGGGGAGUACGCCGGCAACGGUGAAACUCAAAGGAAUUGACGGGGGCCCGCACAAGCGGAGGAACAUGUGGUUUAAUUCGAUGAUACGCGAGGAACCUUACCCGGGCUUAAAUUGCAAAUGAAUAAUCUGGAAACAGGUUAGCCGCAAGGCAUUUGUGAAGGUGCUGCAUGGUUGUCGUCAGCUCGUGCCGUGAGGUGUCGGCUUAAGUGCCAUAACGAGCGCAACCCUUAUCUUUAGUUACUAACAGGUCAUGCUGAGGACUCUAGAGAGACUGCCGUCGUAAGAUGUGAGGAAGGUGGGGAUGACGUCAAAUCAGCACGGCCCUUACGUCCGGGGCUACACACGUGUUACAAUGGGGGGUACAGAAGGCAGCUACCUGGUGACAGGAUGCUAAUCCCAAAAGCCUCUCUCAGUUCGGAUCGAAGUCUGCAACCCGACUUCGUGAAGCUGGAUUCGCUAGUAAUCGCGCAUCAGCCAUGGCGCGGUGAAUACGUUCCCGGGCCUUGUACACACCGC